AUUGAACGCUGGCGGCAUGCCUUACACAUGCAAGUCGAACGGCAGCACGGGUGCUUGCACCUGGUGGCGAGUGGCGAACGGGUGAGUAAUACAUCGGAACGUACCUUAUCGUGGGGGAUAACGCAGCGAAAGUUGCGCUAAUACCGCAUACGCCCUGAGGGGGAAAGCGGGGGACCGUAAGGCCUCGCGCGAUUAGAGCGGCCGAUGUCUGAUUAGCUUGUUGGUGAGGUAAAAGCUCACCAAGGCGAUGAUCAGUAGCUGGUCUGAGAGGACGAUCAGCCACACUGGGACAGAGACACGGCCCAGACUCCUACGGGAGGCAGCAGUGGGGAAUUUUGGACAAUGGGGGCAACCCUGAGCCAGCAAUGCCGCGUGAGUGAAGAAGGCCUUCGGGUUGCAAAGCUCUUUUGUCAGGGAAGAAACAGCAGCUCUAACACAGUCUGCGAAUGACGGUACCUGAAGAAUAAGCACCGGCUAACUACGUGCCAGCCGCCGCAGUAA
Molecule: ribosomal RNA, 501 nt
Filed under: uncultured bacterium
Lineage: Bacteria
Description: partial 16S ribosomal RNA
Rfam family: Bacterial small subunit ribosomal RNA
Source: RNAcentral